AGCGGCAAAAGCUCAAAUUUGAAAUCUGGCACCUUCGGUGUCCGAGUUGUAAUUUGAAGAAGGUAACUUUGGAGUUGGCUCUUGUCUAUGUUCCUUGGAACAGGACGUCACAGAGGGUGAGAAUCCCGUGCGAUGAGAUGCCCAAUUCUAUGUAAAGUGCUUUCGAAGAGUCGAGUUGUUUGGGAAUGCAGCUCUAAGUGGGUGGUAAAUUCCAUCUAAAGCUAAAUAUUGGCGAGAGACCGAUAGCGAACAAGUACAGUGAUGGAAAGAUGAAAAGAACUUUGAAAAGAGAGUGAAAAAGUACGUGAAAUUGUUGAAAGGGAAGGGCUUGAGAUCAGACUUGGUAUUUUGCGAUCCUUUCCUUCUUGGUUGGGUUCCUCGCAGCUUACUGGGCCAGCAUCGGUUUGGAUGGUAGGAUAAUGACUAAGGAAUGUGGCUCUACUUCGGUGGAGUGUUAUAGCCUUGGUUGAUACUGCCUGUCUAGACCGAGGACUGCGUCUUUGACUAGGAUGCUGGCAUAAUGAUCUUAAGCCACCCGUCUUGAA
Molecule: ribosomal RNA, 545 nt
Filed under: Debaryomyces hansenii
Lineage: Eukaryota; Fungi; Ascomycota; Pichiomycetes; Serinales; Debaryomycetaceae
Description: partial large subunit ribosomal RNA
Rfam family: Eukaryotic large subunit ribosomal RNA
Source: RNAcentral